GAUUGAACUCCAGAGCUUUGUCAACGAAUUUGUUUGCCAAAGCAGCCUUAACUCCAAAUGGAGGAUUUAGCCCCAUGAUCUGCUCCCACGAGAUACACAAGGGAGAAUCAGAACUUGGGGGAAACGAUUGGCAGUGCUAAGAUGAUUGGUGGUUUCUAUUACUUUGAUGAAGUUUCAGUUAGUCAUAAAAUAGCUCAAGGCUUGAGUAGUGUCUGUUAUCCUUCUGUAAAGAAACUAUAAUGCACUAUAAUGCUUUGGCAUCUUAGAUUAAGCCAUCCAAAUUUCUUUUAUUUGAAGUAUCUGUUA
Molecule: long non-coding RNA, 306 nt
Organism: Cucumis melo (muskmelon)
Lineage: Eukaryota; Viridiplantae; Streptophyta; Magnoliopsida; Cucurbitales; Cucurbitaceae
Exons: 2
Source: RefSeq, a predicted model, not a curated record